Hibiscus syriacus is the source of this 330-nucleotide long non-coding RNA. RefSeq lists it as uncharacterized. The record is from RefSeq and is a predicted model, not a curated record. The transcript has 2 exons. Lineage: Eukaryota; Viridiplantae; Streptophyta; Magnoliopsida; Malvales; Malvaceae.
AGUUCCGAUGAGCCAGAUACAGUGUUCUGCUGGGAGAUUUCUUGCAGUGUGUUGCACAAUGCGGUGCGUUAGUUUUCUUUACGGGGAUGAAGAACUCAAUGCCAAAGAGACAACUAAGGAAGAAGGCCCCGAAGCAAAAAGCUACUUAGGUGUAAACGAAGAAUUAAAUUUUUUGCAAUCUCCAGUAGUGGAUGUGCAACACCAGAUAAUACUCUGCAAUAGGAAUUUUUUUUUUAUUCUUAGGUUUGAUCAGUCUUUCAUUCACUGAAACAUUUGAACAUUUUUUAAUCUCUUGCCCCAUGUUUAUUUUAUAUGACGACUUGAUUUUGU